RNAcentral lists this unclassified non-coding RNA (374 nucleotides) under Hevea brasiliensis (rubber tree). The record is from RNAcentral. Lineage: Eukaryota; Viridiplantae; Streptophyta; Magnoliopsida; Malpighiales; Euphorbiaceae.
AGAAAUUACAUCCAAUCAACCUUCUCCAAAAGAACAUGAAUGAGAGAAGAAAAAUGGGAAAGGGAGGAAGAGACAGCUCAUUUCCAUCAAUAGAAUAUGCAGUACUCCAUGUCCAAACAAAGCCAUAUCAUGAACCAAGAAACCCCACCAUUAGAAAUCAUAAAUAUAAAAAAUCAGAAUCCUGCCUUCUAAUUUAAGUUCCUUACAAUAACUUAAUUAUAUAUGUAUAUAAUUAUCAUGAAAUUAAUGAAUAUAAUUAUGUAUGAAUAUGCAUAUAUGUAUAUUUUGAUGAUGGAAUCGGUGGGUGGGGGGACAAGAAAAUAAAAGGGCUCAAUAUAUAGGUGAUUUAACAAUAAAUACAAAGGAGUUGACAG